Molecule: ribosomal RNA, 423 nt
Filed under: uncultured bacterium
Lineage: Bacteria
Description: bacterial SSU rRNA
Rfam family: Bacterial small subunit ribosomal RNA
Source: RNAcentral
CUCGCGGGCCCUUUCGGGGUUCAGCGGCGGCCGGGUGCGUUCACGCGUGGGUACGUGCCUUCUGGUCUGGUAUCACCCUGGGUCACUCAGGCUCAUCCCGGUUCCGCCCUUUUGGGGUCAGGUUUCAUGCCGGUAAGUCCGGCCCGCGUCUGUUGUCGCUCGUUGGUGGGGUUCAACGGCCUCCCAAGGCUCCUCUCAGUCGCUGGUCUGCGUAGUCGCUCAGCCACACUGGGUCUGUAUAACGGCCCAUCCUCCUUAGGGCGGCAGCAGUGGGGAAAUCUUGGACAAUGGGCGCAAGCCUGAUCCAGCCAUACCGCGUGAAUGAUGAAGGCCUUAGGGUUGUAAAGCUCUUUUAUCCGGGACGAUAAUGACGGUACCGGAGGAAUAAGCCCCGGCUAACUUCGUGCCAGCAGCCGCGGUAAU